AUUCGCCCUUGUGCCAGCCGCCGCGGUAAGACGGAGGGGGCAAGCGUUGUCCGGACUCACUGGGCGUAAAGGGUGCGUAGGCGGUACGGAGCGUCGCCACUGAAACCUCCCGGCUUAACCGGGAGAGGUGUGGCGAUACGUCCGAACUCGAGGCAGAGAGAGGUGCGCGGAAUUCCGGGUGUAGUGGUGAAAUGCGUAGAUAUCCGGAGGAACGUCGGUGGCGAAGGCGGCGCACUGGCUCUGACCUGACGCUGAGGCACGAAGGCGUGGGGAGCGAACCGGAUUAGAUACCCGGGUAGUCCACGCAGUAAACGAUGUUGGCUCGGUGUGCGGUGAUGGUAAGACAUUGCUGCGUGCCCAAGUACACACGGUAAGCCAACCGCCUGGGGGACUACGAGCGCAAGCUUAAAAACUCAAAGGAAUUGACGGGGGGCCCGCACAAGCAGCGGAGCGUGUGGUUUAAUUCGACGCAACGCGAAGGAACCUUACCCAGGUUUGACAUGGCACUGCAAGCGCACGGAAACGUGUGACCUUCGAGGGUGUGCCACAGGUGCUGCAUGGCUGUCGUCAGCUCGUGUCGUGAGAUGUUGGGUUAAGUCCCGCAACGAGCGCAACCCUCGCCGUCAGUUACUCGUGUCUGGCGGGACAGCCCUCUUUGGGAGGAAGGUGGGGAUGACGUCAAGUCAGCAUGGCCCUUACGCCUGGGGCGACACACACGCUACAAUGCGCAGCACAAUGCGUCGCAAACCCGCAAGGGGGAGCUAAUCGGUAAAUGCGCUCAGUGCAGAUCGGGGGCUGCAACUCGCCCCCGUGAAGGCGGAGUUGCUAGUAACCGCGUAUCAGCCAUGGCGCGGUGAAUACGUACCCGGGCCUUGUACACACCGCCCGUCAAGGGCGAAUU
This 901-nucleotide ribosomal RNA is filed under the name uncultured Chloroflexota bacterium. RNAcentral's name for it is "bacterial SSU rRNA". It matches the Rfam family "Bacterial small subunit ribosomal RNA", at positions 495 to 1409 of the family's 1533-position model. Lineage: Bacteria; Bacillati; Chloroflexota. The record is from RNAcentral.